This 816-nucleotide long non-coding RNA is filed under the name Olea europaea subsp. europaea. The record is from RNAcentral. Lineage: Eukaryota; Viridiplantae; Streptophyta; Magnoliopsida; Lamiales; Oleaceae.
CUCGGUUGUUUAUUAUCAAUCGGCCUCGGCCUAAUAAUUGAUUAGUACAUCGACACAAUUAACGAGACAACACAAUCCACUUUGUUAUGGACCGUUCGAAGUAACCUAUUUUAUAGUGUUGCUCACGGUUCCCGCACCAUUCCUUGGAAGGCUAUUUUAUUAUUAUUGAGGCCCAAUUAUUUGAGUCGAGCCUAGUUUGUUGAUCCAACACUUAACCCUAAUUGUAACCUACCUAUUUUGGACAAUAUGCUUGGCAUAUAAUCCCCUCAUUCUCUCGGCCUCCAUUAAAGUGAAAUAAUCCCCUCUUUGUGAGCCUCUCUCUCUCUCGGCCUCUUCCUCCCCCUCUCACUGUGACCUUUGUGGUUAACAUAUUAUGGGUAUAUUCUUGGCCUUCUCCUUCCCAAUUGAUAGCAACCGGACCGGUGGCGGCAUAGGGUGGUGUUGGAGUUGUCUCAAGUUUUGGUGUCGAUGUUUUUGGUAAACUGAGCCCGGUUUUGCACUAGUUGGCUGUGGAAUUCGGUCCUACAAGUGGUAUCAGAGCCAGUAGAAGCUUUCCCGGCCUAAAAAUUGACAAAAAUCGGCUGCAAUCGCGAUUUGGGGUUGAAGAACCGCGGCUGCAACCUUGAUUUCCGGCCAAUCCAGCCACUUUUCGGUGAAACCGAACCCAUAUUCGGGAUCAGCAAGCUGAGGCGCUCCCUCGGCUGUGGCGCAUGGCGGCGGCGGUGGCGCGUGGCGGCGAUUCUGGGCGAGCUUCCUUCGGGCAGUUUGCUUAUUUUAAUCCCCUGAACGCACUGACACUAUUUAUUUUCUGUUUCA